This 326-nucleotide ribosomal RNA is filed under the name Sandonidae sp. Its description in RNAcentral is "SSU rRNA". The stretch from base 113 to 326 matches the Rfam family "Eukaryotic small subunit ribosomal RNA", at positions 743 to 955 of the family's 1831-position model. Lineage: Eukaryota; Cercozoa; Glissomonadida; Sandonidae. The record is from RNAcentral.
GAUUUCUGGUUUGAUAUAUCUAACCCGCCACAGUUUUGUGUGUGAGUGUUGGUAUAUAUCUACCAUCCUUCUAGAUAAUAUAUAUGAUUCUUCAUUGAAUGAUAUAUAUGUUCUAGAUCUUUUACUUUGAAAAAAUUAGAGUGUUUAAAGCAGGCAUGAUUUGCUAUGAAUACAUUAGCAUGGAAUAAUAAUUUAGGACUUCGGUUCUAUUUUGUUGGUUUCUAGGACUGAAGUAAUGAUUGAUAGGGAUAGUUGGGGGUGCUAGUAUUCAGUGGCCAGAGGUGAAAUUCUUGGAUUCACUGAAGACUAACUUAUGCGAAAGCAUU